UACAGAGGGGGCAAGCGUUGGUUCGGAAUUACUGGGCGUAAGGGCGCGUAGGCGGCCUUCUAAGUCGAACGUGAAAUCCCUGGGCUCAACCCAGGAACUGCGUCCGAUACUGGAAGGCUUGAAUCCGGGAGAGGGAUGCGGAAUUCCAGGUGUAGCGGUGAAAUGCGUAGAUAUCUGGAGGAACACCGGUGGCGAAGGCGGCAUCCUGGACCGGUAUUGACGCUGAGGCGCGAAAGCCAGGGGAGCAACGGG
RNAcentral lists this ribosomal RNA (252 nucleotides) under uncultured bacterium. Its description in RNAcentral is "partial 16S ribosomal RNA". It matches the Rfam family "Bacterial small subunit ribosomal RNA", at positions 524 to 775 of the family's 1533-position model. The record is from RNAcentral.